UAGUGCUUUAUAAAGUUUAAAACUUUACUGCUAAACUCAGAAAAAAAUAUAAGGUAUGAUUCUUUCGAUUGUAUCUAUUCUUUUUGCUGGAUAUCUGGCCUCCUGUAGCAGGGGAUCUGUUUCUGCAGAAACAACUGCUGUACUUCUAGGAGGUGAAUAUG
Molecule: long non-coding RNA, 161 nt
Filed under: Eurytemora carolleeae
Lineage: Eukaryota; Metazoa; Arthropoda; Copepoda; Calanoida; Temoridae
Description: uncharacterized LOC111705414
Source: RNAcentral